AAGCGACCAAUUCGAAGCGCCGGAACACGGGGUAGGAAUCCGGCCGCGUAGGACACGCGUAAGACGGAGUCAGACGCCCCCUGGAGUCGCACCGGGCCUGCCCAUAUUG
Molecule: non-coding RNA, 109 nt
Organism: Mycobacterium avium
Lineage: Bacteria; Bacillati; Actinomycetota; Actinomycetes; Mycobacteriales; Mycobacteriaceae
Source: Rfam